UAGAGUUUGAUCCUGGCUCAGGAUGAACGCUAGCUACAGGCUUAACACAUGCAAGUCGAGGGGCAGCAUUUUAGUUUGCUUGCAAACUAAAGAUGGCGACCGGCGCACGGGUGAGUAACACGUAUCCAACCUGCCGAUAACUCGGGGAUAGCCUUUCGAAAGAAAGAUUAAUAUCCGAUGGUAUAUUAAAACCGCAUGGUUUUACUAUUAAAGAAUUUCGGUUAUCGAUGGGGAUGCGUUCCAUUAGUUUGUUGGCGGGGUAACGGCCCACCAAGACUACGAUGGAUAGGGGUUCUGAGAGGAAGGUCCCCCACAUUGGAACUGAGACACGGUCCAAACUCCUACGGGAGGCAGCAGUGAGGAAUAUUGGUCAAUGGACGAGAGUCUGAACCAGCCAAGUAGCGUGAAGGAUGACUGCCCUAUGGGUUGUAAACUUCUUUUAUAUGGGAAUAAAGUAUUCCACGUGUGGAAUUUUGUAUGUACCAUAUGAAUAAGGAUCGGCUAACUCCGUGCCAGCAGCCGCGGUAAUACGGAGGAUCCGAGCGUUAUCCGGAUUUAUUGGGUUUAAAGGGAGCGUAGGUGGAUUGUUAAGUCAGUUGUGAAAGUUUGCGGCUCAACCGUAAAAUUGCAGUUGAAACUGGCAGUCUUGAGUACAGUAGAGGUGGGCGGAAUUCGUGGUGUAGCGGUGAAAUGCUUAGAUAUCACGAAGAACUCCGAUUGCGAAGGCAGCUCACUAGACUGCAACUGACACUGAUGCUCGAAAGUGUGGGUAUCAAACAGGAUUAGAUACCCUGGUAGUCCACACAGUAAACGAUGAAUACUCGCUGUUUGCGAUAUACAGUAAGCGGCCAAGCGAAAGCAUUAAGUAUUCCACCUGGGGAGUACGCCGGCAACGGUGAAACUCAAAGGAAUUGACGGGGGCCCGCACAAGCGGAGGAACAUGUGGUUUAAUUCGAUGAUACGCGAGGAACCUUACCCGGGCUUAAAUUGCAUUUGAAUAAUCUGGAAACAGGUUAGCCGCAAGGCAAAUGUGAAGGUGCUGCAUGGUUGUCGUCAGCUCGUGCCGUGAGGUGUCGGCUUAAGUGCCAUAACGAGCGCAACCCUUAUCUUUAGUUACUAACAGGUCAUGCUGAGGACUCUAGAGAGACUGCCGUCGUAAGAUGUGAGGAAGGUGGGGAUGACGUCAAAUCAGCACGGCCCUUACGUCCGGGGCUACACACGUGUUACAAUGGGGGGUACAGAAGGCAGCUACCUGGCGACAGGAUGCUAAUCCCAAAAACCUCUCUCAGUUCGGAUCGAAGUCUGCAACCCGACUUCGUGAAGCUGGAUUCGCUAGUAAUCGCGCAUCAGCCAUGGCGCGGUGAAUACGUUCCCGGGCCUUGCACUCACCGCCCGUCA
RNAcentral lists this ribosomal RNA (1398 nucleotides) under uncultured bacterium. RNAcentral describes it as "16S ribosomal RNA". It matches the Rfam family "Bacterial small subunit ribosomal RNA". The record is from RNAcentral.